This is a long non-coding RNA of Mus musculus (house mouse), 603 nucleotides long. RefSeq annotates it as predicted gene, 40075. Lineage: Eukaryota; Metazoa; Chordata; Mammalia; Rodentia; Muridae. The transcript is spliced from 2 exons. The record is from RefSeq and is a predicted model, not a curated record.
CUCUACUCAGCCGUUAUCACUGGAAACCUGCCCAUUCAUUUACAUUUACUCGCCUUUACCACAUGGGAGAGAAAGACACAGUGUCCAGCUUUCCUGUAAGAAAAUGAUUUCCCUGCCAGGCGUGAUGGCGCAUGCUUUUAAUCCCAGCACUCAGGAGGCAGGCGGAUUUCUGAAUUCAAGGCCAGCCUGGUCUACAAAACACAAUGUGGAGUGUAUCUCCCUGCCUUCCCACAUGGAGCCUUGCCACACCACAUGGCCUCCUCCAUGCCUGGCAGCACCCAGUCUAGGAGACUAUUUCCCUGCUGCGUUCUUCACUGACCACACCAUGGAGAGGAUGCUACCUCUGCUCUGUACUAUCGCUCUUGCUUCUUAGUUGGUCUGUCACACUGGGACUGCUCAUUCUAUCUAGAAGCCAGAGACAACGGAGACUUCAAGGAACUGAAGACACCAUCUACAGCAAAACAGUCCUGUGCAGUCCUUUCACAAGCCUUAGGAAAGCAGCUAAUUAGAUUUCUUCCACCACUUUGGAUACCAAGAAUUGAAGGGAGCAUGAAGAGCCUUAUGAUGCUAGUAAUAAAGUUUUAUGAUGCCAGUGACAUUUAA